This 442-nucleotide long non-coding RNA is filed under the name Bos taurus (domestic cattle). Its description in RNAcentral is "long non-coding RNA NONBTAT017763". The record is from RNAcentral. Lineage: Eukaryota; Metazoa; Chordata; Mammalia; Artiodactyla; Bovidae.
UGUGCUCACCUACUAGGGGUAAAGUUGGAAAAAAAAAAAACAUCUUUACCUGAUAGUGCUAUUGAGAAAUAUUACUAGAGUAGAUGAAGAGAAAUAAAUGUGUUACAUUGGGUGAUUAUGCCCUUUUAGAUGUGAUUUAUUUAUUUUUACAAAGUAAAGUGGAAUAUUAAGGUAGAAAUAAUAAUCAUGAAUAUAAUUAGACUUUUUACAUUUUUGAAUUGGCUUAAAAAUCUUAUGUGAAAUUAUGUUAAGAAAUAAGUGUCUUUUGUUGAUCCAGUGUGUAGAGAACAUAUAUACCGUAUUAAGUGCUGUGAUGUGUAUUGGAUUUAGCUUUUGAUUUACCAUGGACAAAUCUGUUUUUUUACUGUCACUGUAUGCCCUGAAAGGUUAAAAGAGAUGUGUGAUUUGGAAGAGUAAGAACUUAUGUUAUUGGUUAUUGGUC